UACGUAGGGUGCGAGCGUUGUCCGGAAUUACUGGGCGUAAGGAGCUCGUAGGUGGUUUGUCGCGUUGUUCGUGAAAUCUCACGGCUUAACUGUGAGCGUGCGGGCGAUACGGGCAGACUAGAGUACUGCAGGGGAGACUGGAAUUCCUGGUGUAGCGGUGGAAUGCGCAGAUAUCAGGAGGAACACCGGUGGCGAAGGCGGGUCUCUGGGCAGUAACUGACGCUGAGGAGCGAAAGCGUGGGGAGCGAACAGG
This 253-nucleotide ribosomal RNA is filed under the name uncultured bacterium. Its description in RNAcentral is "partial 16S ribosomal RNA". It matches the Rfam family "Bacterial small subunit ribosomal RNA", at positions 524 to 776 of the family's 1533-position model. The record is from RNAcentral.